UAGGAUACUUAUGAUUUGUUUACCCAUUUUUCUCCGUUUUCAAAGUCUAUGCUUAAAAUUUCAGAAUCUUCUAGGCUAAUGACGGAAAUCUUAAAGCCGCAGGGCUUCUUAUUUAUAAUUUUUCCCCUGGGCAAUAAGCAUAUCGACAAGUCCCUAUUCGAUUCCGUUCUGCAUUUCUGUUAUCAUACCCGUUACACGCAGUUACAUGAAACAUCCACUAUUUUCCAUUUUAAAUUUCGAUCCCGUUCUAAAUUCGUAUUUUUUAAAUCGCCAUUAGCAAUUCGGGGUGCAUUAGUGGUAACUAUGGCUAGUUUAUUUUUAUGUUGGGAUUGUGGCUAGCUAGCUCCUUAGCUACCUGGAUGAAGAGUAAAAGUAGCCAAAUGCAGUUUGGCUUGCUAGCUAGCUAGCUAGCUACAACAAAAUUUUUAAUCAAUAUUUCUUAUACUAAAUGCAGUUUAGGUAACAACACCUUUAUAAAAACUUACUCAACAAAAUAAAAUUGCUGGAGGAUCUUUUUAGCUAGAGGGCGAAGUUGCAAUAAAUUUUUUAUUUGGAUAAGGGUAUUACGGCUAAACAAAUGUGCAAUACUGUUUACCUGUACUAAGCGCACAGUCCAUUGUUAGAAACAGAUUAUUUCCUGUUGUUUUGUUUAAAUUGAAGCCGUGAUAGGUUUUUGUGAUAGUUUUUUUUGAGGGGUUUGACGCCUAUAUGGAUAUGCAACACGGUUUACCUGUAUUAGCCAACUGUUAACAGUGUGUAUCUUGUGUUAUUACGUAAACCGAAGUUACAUCAAAGUUUUUUUGAAAAGGGUUUUAUGCCAAAACGCAUCGACGACACAGUUUACCUGUACUAACCGCUCAGUCCAAUGUUAAUGAUGGCUGUUUCCUGUGUUUCUGUUUACCGAAGUUACAAAGUUUUUGUAAAAAAAAUGGUAUUAUACCUAUGCGACAUUGUUUGCCUACACUAAUCACUCAGCCCAUAGUAAUAUUUAUUUUCAGGCCAAUCUCUAGGCAAAAUUUACUAAUAUAGUAUAAGUGUAUACCGCUCUUAAUAAUACAUACGCGGUAUAUUUACGAACAUGUUAAUUAAUACACAUACGGUAUAUUUAUUACAUAUAUAACCCAAUAAUACUGAUAUGGUAUAAUUUGUGUCUUAGCAGAAGAGGCAUUUCUAGGCAGCUUGAGAUAUAAGGACCUUUAGUGGUAAAACUAACCUAUUAUUUUUUAAUCCACUUGCUCUUUUCCACUUAUCUUUGUCUGUAUUAUUUGCCAGGUAGUCACGUUGACUUUAUUUGACUAGCUAAGCUAAUCAGUGCUAGGUAAAGCUUCACAUGGGUGCUAGCUAGAGCUACACAUCAGUGCUGGCUAGCUACAUUUCAGUGCUAGCUAGCUUCACAUGCAGUGUGGUAGCUACCUACAUAUCAGUGCUAACUAGUCAAACAUCAAUGCUAGCUAGCUACACACAUCAGUGUUGGCUAGCUACUAGUUUUAGUUAGUCAAGCAAGGUGCACAAUGUACAGUAUUAGUUGCUAUGGUCGUGAAGCUACAACAAAAAUAAAAACAUGUAUAUAUAUACAUAUAACAACUAUGUAUAUAUAGCUAGAAGUAUAUUUCUCUUGUUUCAUGUUAACUACACUUGAGAGGAUGUUAUGUAGGUUUGGUAUACCAAACAAUAUCGAGGAGCCCCAAACCAGAUGUGUGUGUGUUUCCAAUCUAACCCUUAAGAUGUAUCUUGUGGAAAUGACUGCGUCUCUCGUGGAAAUGCUAACUCACCUGGGUGUCCCUUGUGGAAACACCUACGUCUCUUAUUAGAACGCAACCCCUCAGUGAAUCUGGUGGAAACGCUUACACGCAGCAAAUCUCGUGGAAAUGCCUACAUCUCAGCAACUCUCGUGGAAUUGCCUACAUCUCAGCGAAUCUUGUUGGAAAAGUCUACAUCUCAGCAUAUCUCGUGGGGAAGGGGAGACAAUGUCAGGUUCAGUAUCGUUGAGCCUCAAACCAGUAACAAUGAUAGCAAUAAAAAUCUGUGCUGGUUGGAAUUCUGGGCGAAAUCAGUAUGGAUAUUUUCUUUAAAAUAAAACUUGCUGGAUAACAUCGCAUGGUCUGUAAGAUUGAAAUAUAAUAGCAAAAACCAACCAUUGUACAAUGUUUACUAACUUUCAUGCGUGAUAAAAAAUUGUUUAGAAGCUUAUCAGAGCUAAUUGAAACCAUGACUUGUAAUAGAUAUUAAAACAGAGCUUACACAUUGGGAAAAAAUUAUUAUUUGGAUUUGGUGGAUUAUGGUUUUACAUUUUAUUUAUGCGGAAUUCUUUUUAUUGUAAUAUGUUUCCUUAAAUAAUUAUUUUUUAACCAUAUAUAUGUUAGUUAUUACAGUUACACGGUUAUGUACUUUACACCGUCAAAUUUUAACUGUUUCUAUUAUUUAAAAGACAAUGUUUUGUACAUUUUUGUUCUGUUAAACCACGAAAAACAGUAUUUUGAUAUAAACCUAUUGUUUUUGUUUUUUUAAAAUAUUAUUUUUGAUUUUAUAAGAUUUCAGCAGUUACCUAAAAUGGCAUUUGGCCAAAAAGGUUGCAGCAAAAAAGGUAUAGUUGAUAGAUUUCGUUUUUUAGAAUGUACAAGAUCAUUAGUGUCACUAUGUAAUUUAUAUUAUUCAAAUGUUUCUAGAGGUGUCAGGAAUGUGGAGAGGAGAAUGCUCCUGCUAAGAAAAAGUGUCAUAAAUGUCAACAUAUUUUUACUUUAAAGGGUGAUAAACCCAGUGGCAAUAAAUCCUGCAACCUUUUUCGUGCCAAAAAUAAAAUAAAAUUUGUCGUGAGUGUAGUCUGAAGACCUUUUUUAUUUUUAUAUUAGCAAUCGGUAAUUGUAUGUUUUUUUAUUCUUAUUCCCCCAAUAUUAAUGGUAUGUCAACACUGCUGUA
Long non-coding RNA from Hydractinia symbiolongicarpus, 2916 nucleotides. RefSeq lists it as uncharacterized. The record is from RefSeq and is a predicted model, not a curated record. Lineage: Eukaryota; Metazoa; Cnidaria; Hydrozoa; Anthoathecata; Hydractiniidae. The transcript has 2 exons.